AUUAGAAUGAGAAGAAAUGUUGUCCAGGGCGGUUGGCUGAACUAGCAGCUACAAAGAGCAAGAAACUCAAGAAUAAUGUUUGUUUGAAAACAACUAACGCACUGCUGCUCACCGUCAUGACUCAGUCCUCAUGUUGCAGCGAGGCGAGACUGGAUGGAGCUAUCUGUCGGUCGGGAAAUGGGAACACAAGUGGAAGGAUGCUGUGCUGUGGAGUUUCUCGAUCAUCUCUGUCCCCUUCCCUCAAGCAGGACUGUCAGCUCACUGACCUGGAAGCCAGCUCUUCAUUGCUCAAGCCUGAAGAUGUGAGAGUUCAAGGACGUGGUUAGGAAGGGUGUUUGAGCCACUGUGAACGUGAUGAGCAAAACGUAUCCUGCCAGGAAAAGUUUUCCCUUCAUACUGGGUGGGAGACGUCAACCUGUGAGCUGGCAGACUCCUGCCCAGAAAACCCUGCUAGCCCCGCAGCAGCAGCCACAGGUCCCAACCUAAGUUCAGCCCGGACCUCCACCUGCUGCACACAUUGCCUGUCCUUGAUCCUUGAGCUGCAGCAGUCCGACCUGAAUUGACCUGACGCUGGGAAACACAUUUCCAGCUAUCAUACUGUCCAUCAUUGUGACCCAAAUCCUGCCUCCAUUAUGUGUUAUCCCAGAUUCUAUCUGGGGACCUGAACACCAGCAUGCAGGUUUUCACACAGAACAGCUUGUCAGAAGUGACAGUCGGCAACAUCAACAGUGCUGCAGCUGCAUGUCAGUCACAGCAUGAACAUCGAUGGCCACUGUGUACCUUGGAAAGACCUCAUGCAGCUCCACAGCUGUACUGUGGGCUAAUUACUGGGAUGAUCACCGCUGAGUUGCAUGAUGCAGGGAACACACAGAUCGAAAGAUCCUCCUCCCCUGCAGCGACCUCUGAAGGUUUCCUUGAAGGCUCACUGAAGUCAGCGAUCACGCCACGUCCAACCAGCGCUGCACGGAGGGAGUGUAUAAUAUACUGCUGUUGCAGAAACAUGGUUGCUCAACGUGACAAUCUCCGUGGACGAGGACCUGCUCCAUAUGGAGUUAUAAACAGCUCAUUCUAAGAUGUGUGUGUCCUGCAGGUUACGCCACAUUUUCUUCCCUGCUGCUUGGUCAAGGAACUCUCUAAAGGCUCUUGACGGAUGCAGAAAGACACGGUGGUACAGGGUGAGUUGGGCAUAUGCCAUGUGUCUCCACUGAGGCGGACGGCGCCUGUGGGGUCCUGACACGUCUGCCGGAUGUCAUACGACAGGUUGUCGGCCAGGCA
RNA transcript from Epinephelus lanceolatus (giant grouper), 1275 nucleotides. RefSeq lists it as uncharacterized. NCBI's taxonomy places the organism in Eukaryota, Metazoa, Chordata, Actinopteri, Perciformes, Serranidae. The record is from RefSeq and is a predicted model, not a curated record.